RNAcentral lists this ribosomal RNA (389 nucleotides) under uncultured bacterium. RNAcentral describes it as "bacterial SSU rRNA". It matches the Rfam family "Bacterial small subunit ribosomal RNA", at positions 28 to 417 of the family's 1533-position model. The record is from RNAcentral.
GACGAACGCUGGCGGCGUGCUUAACACAUGCAAGUCGAGCGGUAGGGCCCUUUCGGGGGUACACGAGCGGCGAACGGGUGAGUAACACGUGGGUGACCUGCCCUCAGCUCUGGGAUAAGCCUGGGAAACCGGGUCUAAUACCGGAUAUGACUCCAUGACGCAUGUUGUGGGGUGGAAAGCCUUGUGCGGCUGAGGAUGGGCCCGCGGCCUAUCAGCUUGUUGGUGGGGUGAUGGCCUACCGAAGGCGGCGACGGGUAGCCGGCCUGAGAGGGCGACCGGCCACACUGGGACUGAGACACGGCCCAGACUCCUACGGGAGGCAGCAGUGGGGAAUCUUGCGCAAUGGGCGAAAGCCUGACGCAGCGACGCCGCGUGAGGGAUGACGGCCU